UUGUGUCCAAUCAGCCGCAAAUGGCCCCUAAGCCACACUUUGGACAUCCCUGCCAUAUAAACAUAAAAGGUAAAAGCAGAAAUGUUUAACAGAUGAUGCUAAUAAUAACGUAAAGCUUUAAAUAUGUUUAAAUAUGCGUACUGUGAGUACUGCAGGUCUUUUUAUGAUAUCAAAGCGGGCCCUUGCAUCCUUUCAUAUUCCUGUUUGGGGUCCUUUGAGGUUUAGACACCCUGGUUAUGUUUUUAUUAGGACAAAUAAACCCAUACACGGGACUAAGAAAUGUUACUAUUACUUAACGAGCCAGCAGUCCAGGCUUCGGGAGGUCCUGGUCUUGGUUCCCUCCGGCCAACCUUGUAGAACUGUGUGACAAUACUCAGCAGCAUGAAUGAAUGAUUGGCAUACUCAGCAUCAUACUAAUGAGCACGUGAUGGUCGCAGUUAGCCUUCAGGGUCCGAGUCCCAUCGAGUCCCGUGAGAGGAGGCGAGAAGCGUUGAAGGCUGUGUUCUCCUUUUUUGCCACUCCAGCUGAUGAGUGGAAGGAGAUGAAGGUGGGAGGUGUCGGAACCGAGAGCAGAGGUGAGAGGAAGAAAGAAGAUGUGAAAGAAAUGUCCGACAUGUCCAGGGAGGACACCCUGGUGAGGUGCUGACCUGGAUGACCAAUGGGAGCGGCUGCUGUUACGGACUACCAAGAAGCUGGUGUCUGCACCUCCUGCUUCCUGGUGUGUUCCUUCUUUGACUUUGGGAAGGGAAAAUAAUACAAGAAAAUGCUCUCUUUUGUCUUCCUGCGCCUCAACAUUUUGAAAACACAGGAGUGGUCUUCCUUUGAUCCAACGGGCUUUCUUCUUCUUCCAUUUUUUAUUUAGUCUUCUCUUUUCUGCUGACCGCCACAAGCUUUUGUCGUCCGCCGUGAAGCACGAAUGCCUUAAACAACCAGCCAUGGGGCCAAUAAGGAUGUGGGUGGCAGCAAUUUCAUGCAAAAGCUGAGAAUUCCACCUCACCAGGAUGCAUCAACAUGAGCAACCUUGUGGACCACCUCGUCCACAUCCUGGUCCAACAAGUCCUGGAUGAGCUGAGCUGGAACACGUGGUCAGACUUUCACCAGGGGAAGAGAAUCCAUUUUCUGUGGAGAUAUAAAACACACAUUUGCCUUUAAUGACAAAAAGAC
Non-coding RNA from Doryrhamphus excisus (bluestripe pipefish), 1164 nucleotides. Lineage: Eukaryota; Metazoa; Chordata; Actinopteri; Syngnathiformes; Syngnathidae. The record is from RefSeq and is a predicted model, not a curated record.